GGGUAAAACUUUUUUAAGCAUAUAUAAGGGGGGUAGAGGUGUUGGAGGCAGACUGAGGCGCAGGCAGGCAAACGGCAUAGGCGUCCCGUGGGCUUAGUAGGCGUGCUGCGUGGGCGCUUGAUGGCAUGCAUGGCUUGUCCGUGCUACGCCGUUGGGCGUUUACAAAAACACGUCGACGACGUCGGCGGGGCGAGUGACGCGAAGGCAGGCGGACGUCACGGGCGUCCUGUGGGCUUAGUAGGCGUGAUGCGUGGGCGCUUGAUGGCAUGCAUGGCUUGUCCGUGCUACGCCUUUGGGCGUCUACAAAAACAUGUCGACGACGUCGGCGGGGCGACUGAGGCGAAGGCAGGCGGACGUCGAGGGCGUCCUGUGGGCUUAGUAGGCGUGCUGCGUGGGCGCUUGAUGGCAUGCAUGGCUCGUCCGUGCUACGCCGUUGGGCGUUUACAAAACAUGUCGACCACGUCUUCGGGGCGUUUGAGGCGCAAAGCAGGUGGACGUCGAGGGCGUCCUGUGGGCUUAGUAGGCGUGCUGCGUGGGCGCUUGAUGGCAUGCAUGGCUCGUCCGUGCUACGCCGUUGGGCGUCUACAAAAACACGUCGGCGACGUCUGUGGGGCGACUGAGGCGAAAGCAUGCGGACGUCAAGGGCGUCCUGUGGGCUUAGUAGGCGUGCUGCGUGGGCGCUUGAUGGCAUGCAUGGCUCGUCCGUGCUACGCCGUUGGGCGCUCGCAAAAACAUGUCGGCGACGUCUUCGGGGCGUUUGAGGCGCAAAAAGCAGGCGGACGUCGAGGGCGUCCUGUGGGCUUAGUAGGCGUGCUGCGUGGGCGCUUGAUGGCAUGCAUGGCUCGUCCGUGUUACGCUGUUGGGCGUCUACAAAAACACGUCGGCGACGUCUUCGGGGCGACUGAGGCGAAAGCAGGCGGGGACGUCAAGGGCGUCCUGUGGGCUUAGUAGGCGUGCUGCGUGGGCGCUUGGUGGCAUGCAUGGCUCGUCCGUGCUACGCCGUUGGGCGCUUACAAAAACAUGCCGGCGACGUCUGCGGGGCGUUUGAGGCGUAACCAGGCGGACGUCAUGGGCGUCCUGUGGGCUUAGUAGGCGUGCUGCGUGGGCGUUUGAUGGCAUGCAUGGCUAGUCCGUGCUACGCCGUUGGGCGCUUACAAAAACAUGCUGGCGACGCCUGCGGGGCAACCGUGCGCUGCCGAGGGAACUUCUCACGAUCGGUUUUAUAGAAGCGUUUGGUGUGGAAACGGCAGUGCUUUCGGGCGAGUGGCGAGUUCUAGAGCUCCUGUUACGGCUAACUCUAGGCGUCGCACGCACGGGGCACGUAAGGCCAUGUACGGCCAGACGCUAGUAUGGACCGGGCGUGGGCGGUUCCCCUCUGUGAACCUUAGUCUUCCUCCAACGUUCUCUGCAGUGAUUAAGUUCUCAACUCCCUUGGGCACGCGCGCAACGGCGGGUAUAGCAUUGGCUUUGCAAAGAAGGCAUUCGGCGUCGUCGCACGACAUCUCAUGUCGGGCGUCGGGGUAGAUGUCGGGCGUGCAUCGUUGGAGCUAUUCACGUACGGCGCAUGAGUGGUAUUGGGCAUGUGUGGUUAGGUUGGAUCCCUGCUUCGAGCAAGCGACGUCCUUAACUCGCAUGCCAUCUCGGUGGGUGAUGAAGCGCAACCUAGGCUUGACGGACGUCGGAAUCCUGUGCUGCAUACCUAAUGCCUAAGGCAUUGUGCACGUGCAAUCGGUCGCCUUUCGCCCCUCGCAUUCCAUGUGCGGGGUGAACCCAAAAGACGCUCUCGCGUCCCACGCCUUCCCUCGCUUCGUCGUGCGAUGGUGUGGUCCGCGAGCGGCGCCUCGAAUUCUCGGAUACGGUAGACGCAGUGGGCAUGGGGCCUUCAUCGGCUCCUAUCUGCCCAAAACGAAUGCUCCUUGCGAAUGACUGCCGCGCUCGCCUUGGACCCGAUCGUGCUCAAAAGGGCGCGCCGGGCUCAUGCGGCGCGCGGCGUCGUUGAGGAAUGC
Molecule: unclassified non-coding RNA, 2006 nt
Filed under: Solanum lycopersicoides
Lineage: Eukaryota; Viridiplantae; Streptophyta; Magnoliopsida; Solanales; Solanaceae
Description: partial 5' external transcribed spacer
Source: RNAcentral